This 292-nucleotide ribosomal RNA is filed under the name uncultured bacterium. RNAcentral's name for it is "partial 16S ribosomal RNA". It matches the Rfam family "Bacterial small subunit ribosomal RNA", at positions 505 to 796 of the family's 1533-position model. The record is from RNAcentral.
GUGUCAGCCGCCGCGGUAAUACGGAGGGUGCGAGCGUUAAUCGGAAUUACUGGGCGUAAAGCGCGCGUAGGCGGUUUGGUCAGUCGAUUGUGAAAGCCCUGGGCUUAACCUGGGAAUUGCAGUCGAUACUGCCUGACUAGAAUGUGGAAGAGGGAAGUGGAAUUUCCGGUGUAGCGGUGAAAUGCGUAGAUAUCGGAAGGAACACCAGUGGCGAAGGCGGCUUCCUGGUCCAACAUUGACGCUGAGGUGCGAAAGCGUGGGGAGCGAACAGGAUUAGAUACCCGGGUAGUCC